UACACACCGUGCUUGUCUUGCUGCA
This 25-nucleotide non-coding RNA is filed under the name Mus musculus (house mouse). The record is from RNAcentral. Lineage: Eukaryota; Metazoa; Chordata; Mammalia; Rodentia; Muridae.